Molecule: regulatory RNA element, 126 nt
Rfam family: ylbH leader
About the family: This family is a putative regulatory RNA structure that is found upstream of the ylbH gene in B. subtilis and related low GC Gram-positive bacteria.
Source: Rfam
AUAAAAAAAUCCCCGUAAGAAUUGAUCUUACGGGGUGCCCGUGAUCAUACGUUCUGUAUGUACGAGGCUAUGGGAGAGGAGAAACCGGAGGAAGAACUUAUGGGGAAACGUAAGCCUUCUCCGCGG